Molecule: ribosomal RNA, 425 nt
Filed under: uncultured bacterium
Lineage: Bacteria
Description: partial 16S ribosomal RNA
Rfam family: Bacterial small subunit ribosomal RNA
Source: RNAcentral
GUUAGGAAUAUUGGACAAUGGGCGAAAGCCUGAUCCAGCCAUGCCGCGUGAACGAUGAAGGCCUUCGGGUUGUAAAGUUCUUUAGCCGAUGAUUAUAAUGACUGUAGUCGGAAAAUAAGCCCCGGCUAACUUCGUGCCAGCAGCCGCGGUAAUACGAAGGGGGCGAGCGUUAUUCGGAAUCACUGGGCGUAAAGCGUGCGUAGGCGGUUGUGUAAGUUAGGAGUGAAAGCCCAGGGCUCAACCUUGGAAUUGCUCUUAAAACUGCAAGGCUCGAAUCUCGGAGAGGAUAGCGGAAUUUCCAGUGUAGCAGUGAAAUGCGUAGAUAUUGGAAGGAACACCAGUGGCGUAAGCGGCUAUCUGGACGAGUAUUGACGCUGAGGCACGAAAGCGUGGGGAUCAAACAGGAUUAGAUACCCGAGUAGUCC